AAUACUGACCCCUCUAUUGUAACGACUUAUGAUGCUGUUCAAAAUGUGCAUUCUGUGUGGACUCUCCGGAGAGUCAAAUCAGAGGAAGAGAAUGUUGUUUUAAAGUUCUCUGAACAGGGGGGAACCCCACAGAAUGUGGCCACUAGCAGCUCCCUCACAGCACAUCUCAGAAGCCUCUCCAAAGGAGAUUCCCCUGUGAUUUCACCUUUCCGGAAUUACUCCUCCAUUCACAGCCAGAGUCGCUCAACCUCAUCACCCAGUCUACAUUCUCGCUCACCUUCUAUUUCCAACAUGGCAGCUCUAAGUCGUGCUCAUUCUCCUGCGUUAGGAGUGCACUCUUUUUCAGGGGUGCAAAGGUUCAACAUUUCAAGCCAUAAUCAGUCUCCAAAGAGACAUAGUAUUUCUCAUUCUCCAAAUAGUAAUUCUAAUGACUCCUUUCUUGCACCAGAAACGGAGCCAAUUGUUCCUGAACUGUGUAUUGACCAUUUGUGGACAGAAAUGAUUACUAAUAUAAGAGAGAAAAAUUCACAAGCCUCAAAAGUGUUUAUUACAUCUGACCUAUGUGGGCAAAAUUCCUGUGCUUUUUAGUAGAGUCCCAGCUCCACUUACGCUGUGUAAAGUUUCAAGAGAGUAAUGAUAAAACCCAGCUCAUCUUUGAUUCAGUGACCAACAUACCAGCAAAGGAUGCAGCACCAGUGGAGAAAAUAGACACCAUGCUGGUCUUGGAAGGCAGUGGAAACCUGGUGCUAUACACAGGAGUGGUUCGG
This 767-nucleotide long non-coding RNA is filed under the name Homo sapiens (human). RNAcentral describes it as "non-protein coding lnc-CD8B2-12:2". The record is from RNAcentral. Lineage: Eukaryota; Metazoa; Chordata; Mammalia; Primates; Hominidae.